This is an RNA transcript of Nyctereutes procyonoides (raccoon dog), 2300 nucleotides long. It is a transcript of the gene named growth factor receptor bound protein 14, with no coding region annotated. The transcript has 14 exons. NCBI's taxonomy places the organism in Eukaryota, Metazoa, Chordata, Mammalia, Carnivora, Canidae. The record is from RefSeq and is a predicted model, not a curated record.
GGCCCCGCGGCCCCGCGCCCCCGGCCGACGACGAUGACCACUUCCCUGCAGGACGGGCAGGGCGCCGCGGGGCGGGCGGCCGCCCAGGACUCGCCGCUGGCCGCCCAGGUGUGCGGCGCUGCCCGGGGGAGGGGCGACGCCCGCGGCCCGGCGCCCGCGCCCGCGCCCGCGCCCGCUCCCUGGGGGCCCGCGCGGGCGCUCCUGCCCCCUCCGGCCGGGGCCCGCGGCCGCGCCGCAGACAGGAGAAAAAAGAAAGAUCUUGAUGUUCUGGAAAUGCCAUCUAUUCCAAACCCUUUUCCUGAGCUAUGCUGUUCUCCGUUUACAUCUGUGUUGUCAGCAGGCCUGUUUCCCAAAGCAAAUUCAAGGAAAAAGCAGGUAAUUAAAGUAUACAGUGAAGAUGAAACCAGCAGGGCUUUAGAGGUACCCAGUGACAUAACUGCCCGAGAUGUUUGCCAGCUGUUGAUCCUGAAGAAUCAUUACAUUGAUGACCACAGCUGGACCCUUUUUGAGCAUCUGCCUCACAUAGGACUAGAACGAACAAUGGAAGAUCAUGAGCUGGUGAUUGAAGUGCUAUCUAACUGGGGAAUGGAAGAAGAAAAUAAACUAUACUUUAGAAAAAAUUAUGCCAAAUAUGAAUUCUUUAAAAACCCAAUGUAUUUUUUUCCAGAGCAUAUGGUGUCUUUUGCAACUGAAACCAAUGGUGAAAUAUCCCCCACACAGAUUUUGCAGAUGUUUCUGAGUUCAAGCACAUAUCCUGAAAUCCAUGGCUUCUUACAUGCAAAAGAACAGGGAAAGAAGUCCUGGAAAAAGAUUUACUUCCUUCUAAGAAGAUCUGGUUUAUAUUUUUCUACUAAAGGGACAUCAAAGGAACCACGGCAUUUGCAGUUUUUCAGCGAAUUUGGCAAUAGUGAUAUUUAUGUGUCACUGGCAGGCAAAAAAAAACACGGAGCACCGACUAACUAUGGAUUCUGCUUUAAGCCUAACAAAGCGGGAGGGCCCCGAGACCUGAAAAUGCUCUGUGCAGAAGAAGAGCAGAGUAGGACGUGCUGGGUGACUGCGAUUAGAUUGCUUAAGUAUGGCAUGCAGCUGUACCAGAAUUACAUGCAUCCAUAUCAAGGUAGAAGUGGCUACAGUUCUCAGAGUAUAUCACCCAUGAGAAGUAUAUCAGAGAAUUCUCUCGUAGCAAUGGACUUCUCAGGACAGAAAAGCAGAGUUAUAGAAAAUCCCACAGAAGCCCUUUCAGUUGCUGUUGAAGAAGGACUUGCUUGGAGGAAAAAAGGAUGUUUACGCCUGGCCACCCACGGUAGCCCAACUGCCUCUUCCCAGAGCUCUGCCACAAACAUGGCCAUCCACCGGUCCCAGCCAUGGUUUCACCACAAAAUUUCUAGAGAAGAAGCUCAGCGAUUGAUUAUUCAGCAAGGACUUGUGGAUGGUACAAAUCAAGGAGGUUGUGCUGAGGUUUGGAUGAGAAAUGAAACCAGCAUCAAUUUAAACAAGUGGUGAUGGGAUCUUUUAUCUUCAAGGGUUGGCUUAAGAUGAUGACAAGAUUUCAAGGUGAUUUAAUACUGACAUUUGGAUAAAAAUGCAUCUUCACAUGGAAGAUUAUUAAUAGCAAGUCAGCAUUUCACUAGACUCUAAAUAAGAGAAGAUUUUAAUAUACUUCUCUAUGUGGAGCACAGUCUCUUUAGAUAUAAAUUUGAACAAUCAGCAGAAUUACAAUCUGAUGAGACCAAGAAAAAUAAAUCACAAAGAAUCGUUAAAAUGUUUUGGAGGAUUAUAAUCUCCCUACUCUAAGAGCCUGGUUUUUAUAAAUUGAAUAAAAUAAUUGCAUAAAGGAUGGUAACAUCUUUAUUUUUUUUAAUUUUUUAAUAAAAAAUUUGAGGAGGGGGACAGGAUCCUUUGGAAAGAUGUGAUGAUGCCAGGCAGUCCACUAGAUGGUGGUGGUGAUCCACUCGGGAAUGGGGAGGGAAUUACAGCUUGCCUUACCAGUGAAACUCCCUUUUGUCCCAUCUCCCAGUGAUGUAAUGUAGGAAUCUCACACAGUACAACUGAAAUGGAUAAUCUCAUCAGACAUCUGUGAUGGCUCAAAUUCGGCUGCCUCUUUGCCCAGGCACAGUGAGAUUAGUAUUGGAGUCACCAGGGGGGAUGGUUUGCACAAUCUGUUUGCCAACAAUUAACACAAAGCUGGUUUUGCACUCUAUUGCCAAGUUUUCUUGGUACGGGAUAGUCAGAGUAACCCCAAAACUUUCGUACUGUCAAUGAGUCAUGGACAAAAAAUAAAGCAUUUUCAAAUUAUACCA